This is a long non-coding RNA of Canis lupus familiaris (dog), 359 nucleotides long. RefSeq lists it as uncharacterized. The record is from RefSeq and is a predicted model, not a curated record. The transcript is spliced from 4 exons. Lineage: Eukaryota; Metazoa; Chordata; Mammalia; Carnivora; Canidae.
GGUGGCGGCCUUCCACUAGGGGUGUCCACUGACCACCUGUGCCAGCACUCCGGCAUCUGCAUCAAUGCUGGCAACUCGCAUCACUGCCAGUGCCCCCUGGGCUACACUGGGAGCUACUGUGAGGAGCAGCUCGAUGAGUGCUCAUCCAACCCCUGCCAGCAUGGGGCCACCUGCAGGGACUUCAUUGGCGGGUACAGAUGUGAGUGUGUCCCAGGAUAUCAGGGCGUCAAUUGCGAGUAUGAAGUAGAUGAGUGUCAGAAUCAGCCAUGCCAGAACGGAGGCACCUGUGUCGACCUCGUGAACCAUUUCAAGUGCUCCUGUCCACCAGGCACUCGAGGCCUGCUUUGUGAAGAGAACAU